This 251-nucleotide ribosomal RNA is filed under the name uncultured bacterium. RNAcentral describes it as "partial 16S ribosomal RNA". It matches the Rfam family "Bacterial small subunit ribosomal RNA", at positions 526 to 776 of the family's 1533-position model. The record is from RNAcentral.
CGGAGGGGGCUAGCGUUGUUCGGAAUUACUGGGCGUAAAGCGCACGUAGGCGGCUUUGCAAGUUAGAGGUGAAAGCCCGGGGCUCAACUCCGGAAUUGCCUUUAAAACUGCAUCGCUAGAAUUGUGGAGAGGUAAGUGGAAUUCCGAGUGUAGAGGUGAAAUUCGUAGAUAUUCGGAAGAACACCAGUGGCGAAGGCGACUUACUGGACACAUAUUGACGCUGAGGUGCGAAAGCGUGGGGAGCAAACAGG